This is a non-coding RNA of Cinara cedri, 242 nucleotides long. NCBI's taxonomy places the organism in Eukaryota, Metazoa, Arthropoda, Insecta, Hemiptera, Aphididae. The record is from the annotation of a GenBank genome assembly.
UAAAAAUUAUUGUCAUGUUGGUGCAUUGAGUAGGGGUCAGUUUUUCGAUUUUCUUUGUACUUUUCCUAACGAUUGGGAAAAUCCAGGAAAUAUUCGGAAAAAAAGGCAUUAUUUAUUUGGUUGUUUUUAAUAAUAAUAACAAUAAUAAUAAUAAUUCAGUUUAAAAUAUUCGUACAGACCUGAAAUUUCCAUCGAAUACUGACCUAUAUUGUACUUAGACCUUCCUGGGUGCGAUGCAAUUU